UACAGAGGGUGCGAGCGUUGUCCGGAAUCACUGGGCGUAAAGGGCGCGUAGGCGGCCUGGUAAGUAGGGGGUGAAAUCCCGCGGCUCAACCGCGGGGCUGCCUCCUAGACUGCCGGGCUCGAGCACAGUAGAGGCAGGUGGAAUUCCCGGUGUAGCGGUGGAAUGCGUAGAGAUCGGGAAGAACAUCGGUGGCGAAGGCGGCCUGCUGGGCUGUUGCUGACGCUGAGGCGCGACAGCGUGGGGAGCAAACAGG
This 253-nucleotide ribosomal RNA is filed under the name uncultured bacterium. RNAcentral describes it as "partial 16S ribosomal RNA". It matches the Rfam family "Bacterial small subunit ribosomal RNA", at positions 524 to 776 of the family's 1533-position model. The record is from RNAcentral.